UGGGACAACAGUCCGAAAGGACUGCUAAUACCGAAUGUUGUAUCUCCACCGCAUGGAAGAGAUAUUAAAGAUGGCCUCUACUUGUAAGCUAUCGCUUUGCGAUGGGUCUGCGUCUGAUUAGCUAGUUGGUGGGGCAACGGCCUACCAAGGCGACGAUCAGUAGCCGGUCUGAGAGGAUGAACGGCCACAUUGGAACUGAGACACGGUCCAGACUCCUACGGGAGGCAGCAGUGGGGAAUCUUCCGCAAUGGGCGAAAGCCUGACGGAGCAACGCCGCGUGAGUGAAGAAGGUCUUCGGAUCGUAAAGCUCUGUUGUCGGGGACGAAUGUUGAGGCCUAGAACAUAGGUUUCAAAUGACGGUACCUGACGAGGAAGCCACGGCUAACUACGUG
Molecule: ribosomal RNA, 392 nt
Filed under: uncultured bacterium
Lineage: Bacteria
Description: bacterial SSU rRNA
Rfam family: Bacterial small subunit ribosomal RNA
Source: RNAcentral